Molecule: non-coding RNA, 3721 nt
Organism: Theobroma cacao (cacao)
Lineage: Eukaryota; Viridiplantae; Streptophyta; Magnoliopsida; Malvales; Malvaceae
Source: RefSeq, a predicted model, not a curated record
CUGUCUAUAUCCCAAAUAUUCAUGGAAUGACCAAAACACCCUUAUCCAGCAAAGCUUGCCAUCUUUUUGUUUUUGCCUCUCUCUUGCACGCUUCAAAACAGUGAAGCUCAAUUGACAGUAAUACCCACUCAGAGUCAUUAUUAUCCCAUCCGAACCAACGGAAACCUCCCUGUCGUUUGUCCAAAGCACCUGUCCUCCCUCGUCCACUCCUGAAAACAAGACACGAGUGCCACUUUUGUCUGGUCUUCCCGUCACCAAACAUGUAGUUCCCGCAAAACAAAAAAGCAAGAGAGAGAAACGAAAUCCUAGAGAGAGAAACGUUUGGAGAAAAUGGACGGUAGCACGGCCGAGGCCGAGAGGUGGCUAAGCAUAGCGGAGAAACUACUGGCGUCGCGUGAUUUGCAGGGGACCAGAACCUUCGCGAUCCGAGCUCGAGAAUCGGCCCCUGUCCUGGCGGACCAAAUCCUCGCCGUAACCGACACUCUCUUAACCGCCCAAGCCAACCCUCAAGACUGGUACGGGAUUCUCCAACUCGUUCCCUUAACUCAGUCCAUGGAAGUCGUGGCGAGUCAGUACAGGAAACUCGCUCUCCUAUUAAAUCCUGGGAAGAACAGGCUCUCUUUCGCGGAUCAGGCGUUUCGAGUCGUUUCUGAAGCUUGGAAUGUGUUGUCGAAUCCUUCUAAGAAGACCCUUUAUGAUAACGAGUUGAGGUUCCUUCAGUUUGGUCAUGUGAGUCAAAUCAGUCAACAACAACCGCAAACGCAGGCGCUGUUUAUGCAACCACCACCGCCGAAAGGGACGCAAACGCUAUUUAUGCAAACACCACAGAGAGAUACGCCAGCGCAAAUUACGCAACCGCUAUUUGUGAGGAGAAGCCCUAGAAAAAAUAAUAGUAAAGAUGAAAAUGCUGCAUUAGAAGGAGGAGGGCAGUUGGGUUUAAAUAAUAAUCACAAGGAUUCCACUCGGCAGACUGAAUCAGCUUGGACGGGGCAGAUUAAUCAGAUAGGUUUAACUGGACCAGGGCAGAUUAAUCAGACAGGAUCAGUUGGUUCGAGCCAGAUUAGUCGGCCCGAGCCUACACGGACGAGCCAGAUUAACCAGACAGGAACAGCUAGCUCGAGUCAGUUUAAUGGGACUGAGCCGACUCGGACGGGUAAGAUUAAUCGGACAGCAACUCCUUCGACGGAGCAUAGUCGGACAGAGUCAACUGGUGUGGCUCGGAAGACUGAUUCGACUCGGCCUAGUGAAGCUUCUGAGAACGAGGGACCGACUUUCUGGACGGCUUGUCCGUACUGUUACGUUCUCUAUGAGUACCCGAAGGCAUACGAGGAUUGUACUUUGAGGUGUCAGACUAAGAGUUGCAGGAGAGCUUUCCAUGCAGUUGUGAUACCAUCACCGCCUGUGAACGGAAAGGACACGUAUUUCUGCUGUUGGGGGUUUUUCCCAUUAGGAUUUUCGGGGAAUGGAAAGAAUAUGGGUGGUAAUUUUCCCAGUUGGUCACCUAUUUCGACCAUGUUUGCAUGCCCUAACAACAAGAAUGUUGAAAAACAAAAGACUGCCAAAAAGUCUGCUCCGAGAGUGUUUUAUGAUGAACAUGAUGUAUAUGUAGAGAUAUCUGAUUCGAGUGUGAGUUCUGAGGAGGAGGAGGAUGAUGAUGAUGAUGAUGAAUGGCAGAAUGAGAGGAGGAAGAAGAAGGCGAAGAAUGCCAAAGGGAAAGGAUCCGUGGGGAAAAAUGCUAAGAAACCACAGAGUGAGAGAGUGAAAAAGGGGAGUAAUGAGCAAGUUAAUGUCAGUCACGGUGGGAAUUUGAGUGGUGCGUCCAUGGUGCGAGAUGGUAUGCCAACUGCUGAGUCGAGCAGAAGGGGAGUGGGAAGUAGUGGAAGGAAGCAGAUGGGAAGAGGGGCAAAGGAUUUGGGGAAGUUGGAUUUGAAUGUGGAGUUUAGUAAUGAAGUGGAUGAGCCGGCACCAGGGAGGAAUGAGGGGAAUCAUGCUGGAUAUGGGGAGGAGGAUAACAGUGAAGGGAAUGCGUUUUUUGAGGGUCUUGAUGAGUUUUUGAGUAGCUUGCCUAUACUCUCAGUUGUUGGGGAUGAUAAAGUUAAGGCUACUUAGUGAAGUUAGAAAGUUUGGUACAUAAGCAUGAGACAUGUUGGUUGAAGAUUGAAUAUUCUGUCUACCAUGAUACUAGCAGUCACAGGAAUAGAUGGUAAGUUUUCUGACUGGUUCUCUUUCUCUUUUGAUUUGGGAAUUUAACUAUAGGGUAUUCCCCCUCAUGAUAUUGCUGCCUUCAAAUUUUUUUCUCCUCCUAGAGUGCUUUUUUCCCUGCCACUUUUCCCUCUUAUAAAAAAAGAAAAAGGACUGACACUGAGAUAUUAAUGUGCUUUGAAAAGGCAGAUUGAGCUAUUUAGAUUUGUCACUCUUGCUUUUGAGAGGAUUUCAUUGGACAGAGGAUUCAUAGCAGAAGAAGAUUUCUUUUUCGUAUCAUGCAUCUCUUACUGAAGGAAAGAAAUGUGGGAAUGAGAAGUGCUUAGCUGGUUGGAUAUCUUUGCUUGAAUCUGUGUUUGUACUUCUUAUGGGGUUUGGGUUUUUGUAACUGACUCUUAAGUGCUUUGUGUGGCGCUGGCGUGGGAAGACAUGUGGCAUAUAGUCUGAUUGUUAACUACACUUACUUCCCUGUAAAAUAUUGGAGGCUGCUUAUGAUUCUUCUUCCUAGCGGUGAAGUGUUGCUGACGGUUUUAGGUGCUGAGAAGAUGUCCAAAAGCAGUACUGUGGGAAGCAGAUUACUUGGAAUGGAAGUGAACAGCUUUCUUAUCUGUCGACCAUACUAAGGAAUUACAGUGUAGCAAUUGAUAACUUUCUCUUUCACUGGGGCAAAGGUAUGGUAUCCGUGUGAAAGUGAUAAAGAUAGCAUCUCCUGUCCAUUUAGAAGUGUCACGAAUAUUUGAUUAAUGUUGGGCAUGGGACCAUGGGUAACAGAGAAUCUUUUGUCUGAAAGUAGCAAUGGGCACAGAUUUGAGAUGGUAAUUGUGGACUUGCUGCUAGACAAGAAUGCUAGCAUUGCCAAAACUGUGGUGGUGUUUGAGAUGCAAUUAGUGCAGAUGGCCUCUUCAGCUUUGCAGCUAUGAUGGGUUUGAAAUGUUUUGCCAUUGGUUUCCGUUUGAAGAGCGUUUUUGUUGUUGGUAGCCCCUAUUCCUUGUCUAUAGAAAUUAAGUUCUCCAAUCUGGGAAAGCAUGUUAUUACUAUGAAUAUAACAGCAUCAUUGGUGUGACCCAUUUGGGGGCUAUUGAACUGGACGCCUCAUGUUCAAGAAGAGCUAUCUUGUUUGUCUCAACAUUGUCUCUCUGUAAAUGCUGAAAAUGACUAAUGAGCUAGGAAAUUCAAGUGCCGGUGACAUCUGGCUGGAAGCAUGUAAUAUAUGCGUGGUAGGAAGAUUUCUGCCUUUCAAGACCGUGCUAAUGCUUUGCCUAAACGUGGAUGCAGCACUCAGCAAUCAGUGGUCUACCCUGGCAUGCCCCUGGAUGGAAUAAGGGUGUGUCGUGUUGAGUGUCGACCUUGUUUUCUUGUUUGUUAGGCUCGUUAUUUGCUGUCCAAUGUUUUUGUCAUUUCUCAUACUUCUGCCAGCGCCCUGCCCUCUUCUUUUCAUUAUUGUUUUAUUUUUCUAAUUGAGUAUUAUGUGUAGUCCAAUCACAUUAGAUAUGAAUAAAUUCUCAUGUUUUAUUCAUCA